This 492-nucleotide ribosomal RNA is filed under the name uncultured bacterium. RNAcentral describes it as "partial 16S ribosomal RNA". It matches the Rfam family "Bacterial small subunit ribosomal RNA", at positions 30 to 507 of the family's 1533-position model. The record is from RNAcentral.
AUUGAACGCUGGCGGCAUGCUUUACACAUGCAAGUCGAACGGCAGCGCAGUCUUCGCUCUCUCGGAGAGGGGCGAACGGGCGAAUAAUGCAUCGGAACUUCCCCAUUCGCUGUGGAUAGCCCGGCAAAAUCGGGAUAAUUACGGCAAUACCCCUUAGGGCGUACGCGUGGAAGCAAGAGAUCUCGGGCUCUUGCGCGCUCGGAUGUCCGGAUGUCGGAUUAGCUAGUUGGCGGGGUAAAGGCGCACCAAGGCGACGAUCCGUAGCUGGUCUGAGAGGACGAACAGCCACACUGGGACUGAGACACGGCCCAGACUCCUACGGGAGGCAGCAGUGGGGAAUUUUGGACAAUGGGGGCAAGCCUGAUCCAGCCAUGCCGCGUGGGGGAAGAAGGCCUUCGGGUUGUAAAGCGCUUUUGUUGGGGAAGAAAACCUGCGGGCUAAUACCCCGGUGGGAUGACGGUACCGGAAGAAUAAGCACCGGCUAACUACGUG